Molecule: ribosomal RNA, 567 nt
Filed under: Salmonella enterica subsp. enterica serovar Enteritidis
Lineage: Bacteria; Pseudomonadati; Pseudomonadota; Gammaproteobacteria; Enterobacterales; Enterobacteriaceae
Description: partial 23S ribosomal RNA
Rfam family: Bacterial large subunit ribosomal RNA
Source: RNAcentral
GCCGGAGGGAAACCGAGUCUUAACCGGGCGUUAAGUUGCAGGGUAUAGACCCGAAACCCGGUGAUCUAGCCAUGGGCAGGUUGAAGGUUGGGUAACACUAACUGGAGGACCGAACCGACUAAUGUUGAAAAAUUAGCGGAUGACCUGUGGCUGGGGGUGAAAGGCCAAUCAAACCGGGAGAUAGCUGGUUCUCCCCGAAAGCUAUUUAGGUAGCGCCUCGUGAAUUCAUCUCCGGGGGUAGAGCACUGUUUCGGCUAGGGGGCCAUCCCGGCUUACCAACCCGAUGCAAACUGCGAAUACCGGAGAAUGUUAUCACGGGAGACACACGGCGGGUGCUAACGUCCGUCGUGAAGAGGGAAACAACCCAGACCGCCAGCUAAGGUCCCAAAGUCAUGGUUAAGUGGGAAACGAUGUGGGAAGGCCCAGACAGCCAGGAUGUUGGCUUAGAAGCAGCCAUCAUUUAAAGAAAGCGUAAUAGCUCACUGGUCGAGUCGGCCUGCGCGGAAGAUGUAACGGGGCUAAACCAUGCACCGAAGCUGCGGCAGCGACACUGUGUGUUGUUGGGUA